UACAGAGGGUGCAAGCGUUGUUCGGAAUUAUUGGGCGUAAAGGGAGUGUAGGCGGUUUUUUAAGUCUUCUGUGAAAUCUACGGGCUCAGCCUGUAACGUGCAGAAGAAACUGGAGAGCUUGAGUGUCGGAGAGGAUAGUGGAAUUCCCGGUGUAGAGGUGAAAUUCGUAGAGAUCGGGAGGAACACCAGUGGCGAAGGCGACUAUCUGGCUGACAACUGACGCUGAGACUCGAAAGCAUGGGGAGCAAACAGG
Molecule: ribosomal RNA, 253 nt
Filed under: uncultured prokaryote
Description: partial 16S ribosomal RNA
Rfam family: Bacterial small subunit ribosomal RNA
Source: RNAcentral